Molecule: ribosomal RNA, 413 nt
Filed under: uncultured bacterium
Lineage: Bacteria
Description: bacterial SSU rRNA
Rfam family: Bacterial small subunit ribosomal RNA
Source: RNAcentral
UACUCCUACGGGAGGCAGCAGUGGGGAAUAUUGGACAAUGGGCGCAAGCCUGAUCCAGCAAUGCCGCGUGUGUGAAGAAGGCCUUCGGGUUGUAAAGCACUUUAGGUUGGGAAGAAAAAAUUCGGGCGAAUAUCCCGAGUCUUGACGGUACCGACAGAAUAAGCACCGGCUAACUCUGUGCCAGCAGCCGCGGUAAUACAGAGGGUGCUAGCGUUAAUCGGAUUUACUGGGCGUAAAGCGUGCGUAGGCGGUUUGUUAAGUCGGUUGUGAAAGCCCCGGGCUCAACCUGGGAAUUGCAGACGAUACUGGCAGACUAGAGAACGGUAGCGGGAGGCGGAACUCCAGGUGUAGCGGUGAAAUGCGUAGAUAUCUGGAAGAACACCGAUGGCGAAGGCAACCUCCUGGGCCUGUUC